Podarcis lilfordi (Lilford's wall lizard) is the source of this 88-nucleotide non-coding RNA. Lineage: Eukaryota; Metazoa; Chordata; Lepidosauria; Squamata; Lacertidae. The record is from the annotation of a GenBank genome assembly.
UGUCCAGUAGCACCUUAGAGACCAACAAAGUUUGUUCUAGGUAUAAGCUUAGAAAAAACUUAGUUGGUCUCUAAGGUGCUACUGGCCA